This 209-nucleotide ribosomal RNA is filed under the name uncultured bacterium. RNAcentral describes it as "partial 16S ribosomal RNA". It matches the Rfam family "Bacterial small subunit ribosomal RNA", at positions 524 to 730 of the family's 1533-position model. The record is from RNAcentral.
UACGUAGGGUGCGAGCGUUAAUCGGAAUUACUGGGCGUAAAGCGUGCGCAGGCGGUCUGUUAAGACCGAUGUGAAAUCCCCGGGCUUAACCUGGGAACUGCAUUGGUGACUGGCGAGGCUUUGAGUGUGGCAGAGGGAGGUAGAAUUCCACGUGUAGCAGUGAAAUGCGUAGAGAUGUGGAGGAAUACCGAUGGCGAAGGCAGCCUGCC